UACGUAGGGUGCGAGCGUUGUCCGGAAUUAUUGGGCGUAAAGAGCUUGUAGGCGGUCUGUCGCGUCUGCUGUGAAAAUCCGGGGCUCAACCCCGGACUUGCAGUGGGUACGGGCAGACUAGAGUGUGGUAGGGGAGACUGGAAUUCCUGGUGUAGCGGUGAAAUGCGCAGAUAUCAGGAGGAACACCGAUGGCGAAGGCAGCUCACUGGGACGGUACUGACGCUGAGACGCGAAAGCGUGGGGAGCAAACAGG
Molecule: ribosomal RNA, 253 nt
Filed under: uncultured bacterium
Lineage: Bacteria
Description: partial 16S ribosomal RNA
Rfam family: Bacterial small subunit ribosomal RNA
Source: RNAcentral